UACGAAGGGGGCUAGCGUUGUUCGGAAUUACUGGGCGUAAAGCGUGCGCAGGCGGCUUCUCAAGUCAGGGGUGAAAGCCCAGAGCUCAACUCUGGAAUUGCCUUUGAGACUGAGUGGCUUGAGUACGAGAGAGGUGAGUGGAAUUCCCAGUGUAGAGGUGAAAUUCGUAGAUAUUCGCAAGAACACCAGUGGCGAAGGCGGCUCACUGGCCCGAUACUGACGCUGAGGCACGAAAGCGUGGGGAGCAAACAGG
This 253-nucleotide ribosomal RNA is filed under the name uncultured bacterium. RNAcentral's name for it is "partial 16S ribosomal RNA". It matches the Rfam family "Bacterial small subunit ribosomal RNA", at positions 524 to 776 of the family's 1533-position model. The record is from RNAcentral.